Molecule: ribosomal RNA, 253 nt
Filed under: uncultured bacterium
Lineage: Bacteria
Description: partial 16S ribosomal RNA
Rfam family: Bacterial small subunit ribosomal RNA
Source: RNAcentral
UACAGGGGGUGCAAGCGUUGUUCGGAAUUACUGGGCGUAAAGGGCGCGUAGGCGGUCCAGCAAGUCAGGUGUGAAAGCCCGGGGCUCAACCCCGGAAUUGCAUUUGAAACUGCUAGACUAGAGUACAGUAGAGGAUGGCGGAAUACCUAGUGGAGAGGUGAAAUUCGUAGAUAUUAGGUAGAACACCGGUGGCGAAGGCGGCCAUCUGGGCUGUUACUGACGCUGAGGCGCGAGAGCGUGGGGAGCAAACAGG